RNAcentral lists this transfer RNA (30 nucleotides) under Melanotaenia sp. 'LIGUDG Mel 1'. Its description in RNAcentral is "partial tRNA-Thr". The record is from RNAcentral. Lineage: Eukaryota; Metazoa; Chordata; Actinopteri; Atheriniformes; Melanotaeniidae.
CUGCCGAAGGUUAAAUUCCCUCCUACUGCU